This is a long non-coding RNA of Haliotis rufescens (red abalone), 425 nucleotides long. RefSeq lists it as uncharacterized. NCBI's taxonomy places the organism in Eukaryota, Metazoa, Mollusca, Gastropoda, Lepetellida, Haliotidae. The record is from RefSeq and is a predicted model, not a curated record. The transcript has 3 exons.
UGUAUUUUAUAUAUCCAAAAAAGAAUCAAUUCAUCAUUUUCCGAUAACUAGAUCUAUGUCCGACUCCCUUCUAAUGAAAAUGAGCAAAAGUAAAACGAGUCUCUCGUCGCGCGCUAUAACGGGGUGUUUGCAGUAUUGUCCUCGCUGGUGAUGAUAAGCUAGUGAGUAGUCGAUAGUCAAAAGUUAAAUAUCACCAUAUAUUGUCAGUGAGUUGGUCAUCGUUUGUUGAUUAUUAAGCAAGGGGGAAAAUGUUACACGACCAUUCCAGGAGAUAAAAUCAAGAAUGUUGAAUCAUUGAGGAACACACCAAAUAAACCCUGGGCUGUGAAUUAUGUUAACGGAAGUGGAAGUGAACACCAAAGAAAGAAGAUUCUGGCAUUUAAUAAUUUCAAAAAGUGUAUACAUUUUCAAUUAUCUAAAAGUAU